Molecule: ribosomal RNA, 492 nt
Filed under: uncultured bacterium
Lineage: Bacteria
Description: partial 16S ribosomal RNA
Rfam family: Bacterial small subunit ribosomal RNA
Source: RNAcentral
AGUGAACGCUGGCGGUAGGCCUAACACAUGCAAGUCGAACGGCAGCACAGUAAGAGCUUGCUCUUACGGGUGGCGAGUGGCGGACGGGUGAGGAAUACAUCGGAAUCUACUUUUUCGUGGGGGAUAACGUAGGGAAACUUACGCUAAUACCGCAUACGACCUACGGGUGAAAGCAGGGGAUCUUCGGACCUUGCGCGAUUGAAUGAGCCGAUGUCGGAUUAGCUAGUUGGCGGGGUAAAGGCCCACCAAGGCGACGAUCCGUAGCUGGUCUGAGAGGAUGAUCAGCCACACUGGAACUGAGACACGGUCCAGACUCCUACGGGAGGCAGCAGUGGGGAAUAUUGGACAAUGGGCGCAAGCCUGAUCCAGCCAUACCGCGUGGGUGAAGAAGGCCUUCGGGUUGUAAAGCCCUUUUGUUGGGAAAGAAAAGCAGCAGGUUAAUACCCCGCUGUUCUGACGGUACCCAAAGAGUAAGCACCGGCUAAUUUCGUG